This is a long non-coding RNA of Pistacia vera, 765 nucleotides long. RefSeq lists it as uncharacterized. The transcript is spliced from 6 exons. NCBI's taxonomy places the organism in Eukaryota, Viridiplantae, Streptophyta, Magnoliopsida, Sapindales, Anacardiaceae. The record is from RefSeq and is a predicted model, not a curated record.
CCACAAACCUGCAUACUUCGUCCCGGAUUCAAUGUCAGUUUGGAAUCUUCUCGGAGAGUUCUGCAUUAGGAAGGUUAACAUGGUUGUUGUUCUAAAUGAGUAUGGUGGAACUGUGGGGAUAGUGACCCUGGAAGAUGUGAUUGAGGAAAUUGUUGGUGAAAUCUUUGACGAAAUGAUUCAAAAGAGGAGAUCCAGAAGAAAACUGGCUACAUUGUGAUGCAAGCAGAGGGAAUAUAUGAUGUGGAUGCUAAUACAUGUAUUGAUCAGCUCUCUGAAGACUUAAAUAUCAAAAUGCCAGAGGGUCAUCAGUAUGAGAUGGUAUCAGGUUUUAUAUGUGAGGCCUUUGGAUACAUCCCAAGGACCGGUGAGAGUACGAAAGUGAUACUUUACAAGGAAAACCAGGAAGAAAGCGAAGAACAUGAUGAUCUGGAUCUGACCACCAGGGAUUGAGGGAAAAGUAUCUAAUUUACAAACUCGAGACUUUUAAGGAUUUGAUUCCAUGGUAUUGAAGAGUUUGGGAAAGAGCGUGCAGUAGAAAUCAAUCUGUAGAAUCUUUUGAAUAAGUUGGGAUAUUCAACAUCUUGGAGUCUUUACAUGGUCUUAUCAUAGGAUUUCUGAAUAUUAUUGGAGUUAGAAUUACGAGCUAUAAUGUAGGCUUUAAUAUGCUAUUUUGUUGAAUUUCAGUUUAACAAAUGUUGUGAUAUUUAUUCAGAAUAGUAGUUUAUAGGGCCUCUGGCUCUUCAGCCCUGCCCUGUUUCUUCAGUG